Molecule: long non-coding RNA, 1425 nt
Organism: Gadus chalcogrammus (walleye pollock)
Lineage: Eukaryota; Metazoa; Chordata; Actinopteri; Gadiformes; Gadidae
Exons: 3
Source: RefSeq, a predicted model, not a curated record
CUAAAUAUAUUAACCAAACCAGUUUCACCAAAUUAAUAUAUCAACCAACAGUAUAAAACUCUUGUUGGAUUUUUUUUUGUUGUGCUUAGUUCUGUUAGACAAAUAUUCAAUGAACAAUAGGCAGCAAAGAUUCAACAUCUGGCCUUACCACCCCUCCGUCUCUGUGAACAACAAAAAAAUAUACUUCUGACCUUUUUAAUCUUUUCCUCUUUAUGCUCCGCUUCCCCCAGUGUCUUUAUCUUCCGUCUGAACCGGAUUGGUAAAGACGAAAAGGGCGCGCGAGUGAAGUUGAAUCAUCCUGUGGUUCUUUGCAGAGAACUGGAUCUUUCCGGUUUCCUGCCUGCCACACAGUUUCAGGAGACAUUCCGGUACAAGCUGGUGAGUGUCAUCAGCCAUGUCGGGUCAAGAACUGACGAGGGUCAUUUUGUAAGUGAAAGACUUCUGAUGGCGGCAGGCGUCACUCGAGACGGCUGGCUCACCUACAAUGACGAAAUUGUGAAAAUGUCUGACGACUCUGAAGAUCUACAGCGGCCACAGUCUGCAUCCAUCCUCUUCUACGAACGCCAGGUGGAUCCGGCCCUUCCUCACAAGGGAAGCAGCCCAGCUCAUCUCCCGCCUCGACUACGGCAACUCGCCCCAAAGAAUUUAGUGUCAAACACUUAAUUUCCUGCAUUCUGGUGAAUUUGUAUUCCAACCAUUUGUGCCUUUUCGGAAUUAAGUUAUGGCGGAAAUUUCUUAACUACGAAUAGGAAGGCUUUGCCUUCUCUGUGUGUGUCACUAUACAUACUAUGGUUUAUUACAAUGCUUUUGUGUUUCCAGUAUUACAACAGAGGUAAGACGAGACCAUGAAUAUGGCCAUGACAUCCAGUGCAGGACAUGUUAUACAUAAUAAUAUACACAUGAGCGAGUCAGCCUGAUGCACCAGCUGUGCAUCACAUAGCUUUCUAACACAGUGAUAACUGUUAUAGGCUACAUGCCCUAAUAAGUGAUGUGACAUUUUAAUAUCAAUCAAGCCUACUACGAUGUGCUACAAUUUAAAGUUACAACAUUCAACACACAAACGUUGCUGUUAAUGUGAUUGUUUUGACCGCGGAUAACGGCUUAAUUAGCCUACGGUGUAAUUCUCCAUGUCACUCAUCUACAGCUCAUCUCAAGGUAGCGGCAAUAUCAUUACAAUGAAAUGGGAUGUCAAUUACUUUAGUCUAUGCCUUUUCUGAUGACAUGUUUCAAGCUAACAGUUAUGAAUGGUUUCCUCUCCACAUAAUGGACACACCAUAUAAGGUUUAAUGAGUUUGUACUACUUUGUAGAUGGGUUAAGGACUACAAAUAUGGCCACUUUGCCAUUUCCGCUAAAGCAAUGACAGACCAAAGGUUUACCGAACAUAUAGGCGUGGCUUAUUUCAAAGUCUGCCCACUUCCAAUAUA